AUGAACGCUGGCGGCGUGCUUAAUACAUGCAAGUCGAACGGAAAUUGUAGCAAUACAAUUUUAGUGGCGAACGGGUGAGUAACGCGUUGGUGACCUGCCCCGAAGAGAGGGAUAACAGUCCGAAAGGAUUGCUAAUACCUCAUGUUGUUGCCGGGUUUAGAAGCUGGCAACUAAAGGCGUAAGCCACUUUGGGAGGGACCUGCGUCCCAUCAGCUAGUUGGUGAGGUAACGGCCCACCAAGGCGAUGACGGGUAGGGGACCUGAGAGGGUGGCCCCCCACAAUGGUACUGAAACACGGACCAUACACCUACGGGUGGCAGCAGUAGGGAAUAUUAGUUAAUGUGCGAAAGCGCGAACUAGCAACGCCGCGUGUGCGAUGAAGGCCUUCGGGUCGUAAAGCACUUUUCUAAGGGAUGAGGAAGGACAGUACCUUAGGAAUAAGCCUCGGCUAACUACGU
RNAcentral lists this ribosomal RNA (458 nucleotides) under uncultured bacterium. RNAcentral's name for it is "bacterial SSU rRNA". It matches the Rfam family "Bacterial small subunit ribosomal RNA", at positions 29 to 506 of the family's 1533-position model. The record is from RNAcentral.